CAGUCGCCACGGUAAUACGAAGGUCCCGAGCGUUGUUCGGAAUCACUGGGCGUAAAGGGAGCGUAGGCGGCGUGGUAAGUCAGAUGUGAAAUCCCGGGGCUCAACCCCGGAACUGCAUCCGAUACUGCCAUGCUAGAGGAUUGGAGAGGUAGCUGGAAUUCUUGGUGUAGCAGUGAAAUGCGUGGAGAUCAAGAGGAACACUCGUGGCGAAAGCGAGCUACUGGGCAAUAACUGACGCUGAGGCUCGAAGGCCAGGGUAGCGAAAGGGAUUAGAUACCCCUGUAGUCCCUGUCUCUUAUAC
RNAcentral lists this ribosomal RNA (301 nucleotides) under uncultured bacterium. Its description in RNAcentral is "partial 16S ribosomal RNA". It matches the Rfam family "Bacterial small subunit ribosomal RNA", at positions 509 to 807 of the family's 1533-position model. The record is from RNAcentral.